Molecule: ribosomal RNA, 253 nt
Filed under: uncultured bacterium
Lineage: Bacteria
Description: partial 16S ribosomal RNA
Rfam family: Bacterial small subunit ribosomal RNA
Source: RNAcentral
UACAGAGGGUGCGAGCGUUAAUCGGAAUUACUGGGCGUAAAGCGCACGUAGUCGGCUUUGCAAGUCGGUUGUGAAAUCCCCGGGCUCAACCUGGGAACUGCAUCCGAGACUGCAUUGCUAGAGUAUGGGAGAGGAAAGCGGAAUUUCUGGUGUAGCAGUGAAAUGCGUAGAUAUCAGAAGGAACAUCAGUGGCGAAGGCGGCUUUCUGGACCAAUACUGACGAUCAGGUGCGAAAGCGUGGGGGGCAAACAGG